UACAGGGGGUGCAACCGUUGCUCGGAAUUAUUGGGCGUAAAGCGCACGUAGGCGGUUCGUUAUGUCAGAUGUGAAAGCCCUUGGCUCAACUGAGGAAGUGCAUCUGAAACUGGCGAGCUAGAGUAUGUAAGAGGGUCGCGGAAUUCCCGGUGUAGAGGUGAAAUUCGUAGAUACCAUGACGACUGGUAAAGGCGAAAGCAACCUUUUAUCUAAUAACUGACGUUGAGGGACGAAGGCUCGGGUCGCGAACAGG
Molecule: ribosomal RNA, 253 nt
Filed under: uncultured bacterium
Lineage: Bacteria
Description: partial 16S ribosomal RNA
Rfam family: Bacterial small subunit ribosomal RNA
Source: RNAcentral